AGUUUGAUCCUGGCUCAGGACGAACGCUGGCGGCGUGCCUAAUACAUGCAAGUCGAACGAAGCUUUCUUUCACCGAAUGCUUGCAUUCACCGAAAGAAGCUUAGUGGCGAACGGGUGAGUAACACGUAGGCAACCUGCCCAAAAGAGGGGGAUAACACUUGGAAACAGGUGCUAAUACCGCAUAACCAUGAACACCGCAUGAUGUUCAUGUAAAAGACGGCUUUUGCUGUCACUUUUGGAUGGGCCUGCGGCGUAUUAACUUGUUGGUGGGGUAACGGCCUACCAAGGUGAUGAUACGUAGCCGAACUGAGAGGUUGAUCGGCCACAUUGGGACUGAGACACGGCCCAAACUCCUACGGGAGGCAGCAGUAGGGAAUCUUCCACAAUGGACGAAAGUCUGAUGGAGCAACGCCGCGUGAAUGAAGAAGGCCUUCGGGUCGUAAAAUUCUGUUGUCAGAGAAGAACGUGCGUGAGAGUAACUGUUCACGUAUUGACGGUAUCUGACCAGAAAGCCACGGCUAACUACGUGCCAGCAGCCGCGGUAAUACGUAGGUGGCGAGCGUUGUCCGGAUUUAUUGGGCGUAAAGGGAACGCAGGCGGUCUUUUAAGUCUGAUGUGAAAGCCUUCGGCUUAACCGAAGUAGUGCAUUGGAAACUGGAAGACUUGAGUGCAGAAGAGGAGAGUGGAACUCCAUGUGUAGCGGUGAAAUGCGUAGAUAUAUGGAAGAACACCAGUGGCGAAAGCGGCUCUCUGGUCUGUAACUGACGCUGAGGUUCGAAAGCGUGGGUAGCAAACAGGAUUAGAUACCCUGGUAGUCCACGCCGUAAACGAUGAGUGCUAAGUGUUGGAGGGUUUCCGCCCUUCAGUGCUGCAGCUAACGCAUUAAGCACUCCGCCUGGGGAGUACGGUCGCAAGACUGAAACUCAAAGGAAUUGACG
This 938-nucleotide ribosomal RNA is filed under the name uncultured bacterium. RNAcentral describes it as "bacterial SSU rRNA". It matches the Rfam family "Bacterial small subunit ribosomal RNA", at positions 10 to 915 of the family's 1533-position model. The record is from RNAcentral.